This 86-nucleotide transfer RNA is filed under the name Felis catus (domestic cat). It matches the Rfam family "tRNA". Rfam says of the family: Transfer RNA (tRNA) molecules are approximately 80 nucleotides in length. Lineage: Eukaryota; Metazoa; Chordata; Mammalia; Carnivora; Felidae. The record is from Rfam by way of RNAcentral.
GCCCGAGUAGCUCAGUUGGUUCAGCAUCUGACUUGGGUUCAGGUUGUGAUCUCACGGUUUCAUGGGUUCAAGCCCCACGUCGGGCU